RNAcentral lists this transfer RNA (71 nucleotides) under bacterium. Its description in RNAcentral is "tRNA-Ile". It matches the Rfam family "tRNA". From Rfam's summary of the family: Transfer RNA (tRNA) molecules are approximately 80 nucleotides in length. Their secondary structure includes four short double-helical elements and three loops (D, anti-codon, and T loops). The record is from RNAcentral.
GCGCCUAUAGUUUAACGGUAAAACUUUCGUCUUAUACACGAAUAUCGGGGGUCCGACUCCCUCUAGGCGCA